UCUCUUGUGAUGUAGCGGUGAUCAGAUGAGAUUCCGGAAUCUCAUUACGAAGGUUCGACUCCUUCCAAGAGAU
This is a non-coding RNA of Tritrichomonas musculus, 73 nucleotides long. NCBI's taxonomy places the organism in Eukaryota, Parabasalia, Tritrichomonadida, Tritrichomonadidae. The record is from the annotation of a GenBank genome assembly.